Molecule: long non-coding RNA, 11732 nt
Filed under: Erythranthe guttata (spotted monkey flower)
Lineage: Eukaryota; Viridiplantae; Streptophyta; Magnoliopsida; Lamiales; Phrymaceae
Description: long non-coding RNA (EGUT_LNC001194)
Source: RNAcentral
GAUGGCGGAAUAUCUGAGGAGGGUUAGAACCGACAUUAUGCAAUUGAACACUUUCUUAGCGGCCGAUUCUCGUAUUGAACUAGCUCAGCUUUCUAUCGGAGAUGGGCUCACACUUUGCAGGCGUGUCAAAUAGACAUUUUAUAUUUCUAUACGUUUUAAUUUAUAUGAGUUUUAUGCUCGCUGAAGGAUCGUAGAGAACAACUUCAAUGAUUGUAUUUGUAUUGUUUUUCUGAUAAGUAUCUAUUUAAAUAUUUAUAUUUAUGUCAAAAUAAUCAAUCUACAUUUCUUUACUUAUUUUUUUUAUUUUAUUUUUAUAUUUUUAUUACUUUUAUCGAAAGCUUAGUCCUCCAUAUAUAUAUUUCACUAAACCGCCUAUGUCUAUAUGAAGUUAUUUAUCAUAAAUGCUCAACAUUUUAUCUUUCUUCAGCCUUAGUGGAGACAUCACAAAAUAUGCAGAAUGUUAGGUAUGUGGGCCUCUCUCGACCCUACAUUUAGUGAUAAACAUUGGAUGGAUUUCUGGUUGAUAGUGUAUUUUUUUUGUAUUUUUCUAAAACUCCUAUAAGUUAAUUCUAGUAGAAGAAUAUAUAAUAAAUAAUUAAAUAUAAUAUGUGUCGGCAGAAUUAACCCAUUAAGUAUUUAUCAUCGGGUGUAGGGUCGAAAGAACCAUGUAUAUGGAUAAUGUAUUGACUAAUCCAUGAAAUACGAGAGAUCAGUUGGAUAGUUUGUAGUAGAAACAAAUAAGCUCAAUCGUUUAACAUGCAUAUGUAUUAUAAACAAAUACAAACUUAGUGUUUUCUUUUAUAAUAAAAUUACCCACAACCUAGUUUCUAAUUGUAUCACUAAAUUGUGAUUUCAAACUUUUUUUUUUCUGUUGUGAGUCUCUGAUGUUGACUUUUUUUUUUUUGUCUAUUUUUUUCUUCGCCGCCGUUGACCAGGCUUCGGAGACAUAUAAUUUUUUUAUUUUAUUUUUCAAACUUUUUCCUACUUUUUUUUUGCCGCCCGCCGCUAACUUAUGACAGUAAUAUAUUACUCUAGUUGACAGUAAUAUUAUUUAAACACGAUAAUAUUAUUGUCAAUCAUAUCAAUAUUAAUUUUUUCAUUCUUUUUAUUUAGUUCGAUUUGUUGACCGGCAAAUAUAAUAAUAUUAUUGUUGUUGACCGUCAUAUUACUGUCAAAAUCACUAAUAUUUUUGUGGUUCAUAUUAAUAUUAAUAUCGUGCGACAGUAAUACUACAAUCAAUUACAUCAAUUUAAUUGUUUUGGCCUUUUAUUUUGUUUUCCUAUGUUUACUGGUCAACAUGUAUAAUAUAUUAUUGUAUUACACAUAUUUUAUUAUAAUUAUGUAACAUAGUAAUUUUAUUAUAUGGGAUUUUUAUGCAAAAGUCCCCAACCAAGCAUGUUUAUUAUUCUAGGUUUAGGGGACAUAUCUCUUUUACCAAUAAGCCCAUCCCUUUAAUAUUUAUUAUAACUAAAGGAAACAUUCAUGUAUAUCCCAAAAUUACCCUCAACCAUUUAUACCCAAUUCUUAAUUGUAAUCCAAAUUAAUCAAUUUUAUCCAUAAAAGUUCAAUUUUGACCACAAAAAUUCAAUUUUGACUUUUUUUUGGAGUAUAAUUUAAUAUGCUCCAAUUUCAUCAUUAACUUAAUUUAAUCUCAAUUUGACCCCAAAUUUCACAAAUUAUUAAAUUUUGACCCAAAAAUUUUUUUUUUUCAAAAAAUAUUUUUUUUUUCAAAAACUUUUUUUUUGCCGCCGGAUUCCGGCGUUGACCGGCGGUCAACGCCGGUCUCCGGCGUUGACUUUUUUAAUUUUUUUUUUUUUUUUUUUUCUUCCGGAUUUUUUCGCCGGUUUCCAGCGUUGACCGGCGGUCAACGCCGGUCUCCGGCGUUGACUUUUUUUUUUUUUUUUUUUUUUUGCUUUUUUCUUUUUUUUUUUUCUUUUCUUUUCUUCAGGAUUUUUUCGCCGGUUUCCGGCGGUCUCUUUUUUUAGUGUUUUUUUAAGUUUUUUGUUUUGUUUUGUUUGGUUUGUUUUGUUUUUCCACGUCCGCCGCUAAACGUUGACCGUAAUUGUGCUGUCACUGACAGUAAAUUAACGUAAUUAUACUGUCAAUGAUAGUUAAUUAACGUAAUUGUACUGCCGUUGACAUUACAUUUAUGUAAUUGUGUUGCCGUUGACAGUAAAUUAAUGCAAUAUUAUAUUUUUUUAUUUAUUAUUAUUUUUUUUUAUUUUUUUUUGAUUUGUUGACAAGUCAACGUAAUUAUAUUACUGUCGUUGACAGUAAAAUAACUGUAAACACAAUAAUAUUACUGUCAACAACAUCAAUAUUAUUAUUUUUUUGUGGUGUUUGUAUUAAUAUUACUGUCUAUUAUUGUAAUAUUACUGUAAACACAAUAAUAUUACUGUGGUUGACGGUAAUAUUACUGUUUGUUAUAGUAAUAUUCAUGUCAACCACAUCAAUAUUAUUCUUUUGUUUGGAUAUUUUGUUUGUUUGAGUUAUUCACGGAGUAACGUAAUAAUAUUACUGUCUACUAUUGUAAUAUUACUGUUGCUAUAGUAAUAUUACUGUCACUCACAGUAAUAUUAAUUCUUUUGGUUUUUUUUAUUUUGUUUACAUUUGUUGAACGGACAACAUAGUAAUAUUACUUUAUUAUACAAUAAUAAUGAAUUUUGUUGUGUUAAUAUUAAUGUGCUAGAGAUUAAUAUAGCAAUAUCACUGUGUUAAACUAUAGUUUCGUUAUUUUUACUGUGUUUAACAGUAAUAUAGUUAAUAUUACUGUCAUUCAAAGCAAUAUUGUUGUUUAAACGGAAAAAAAAGUUACAGAAAAAAAAAAUUAAAAAAAAAAUAAAAUAAAAUAAAUUAAAAAAAGUCAACGCCGGAGACCGGUGUUUACCGCCGGUCAACGCCGGAAUCCGGAAAAAAAAUCCGGAAGAAAAAAAAAAAAAUAAAUAAAUAAAUAAAUAAAUAAAUAAAAAAAAAUAAAUUAAAAGUCAACGCCGGAAUCCGGAAAAAAAAAUCCGGGAGGAAAAAAAAAAAAAGGAAAAAAAAAAAAAUUUAAAGUCAACGCCGGAAUCCGGAAAAAAAAAAUCCGGAAGAAAAAAAAAAAAAAAAAAAGUCAACGCCGGAAUCCGGCGGAAAAAAAAAGUUUUUGAAAAAAAAAAAUUUGUGAAAAAAAAAAGUUUUGGGUCAAAAUUGAAUAAUUUGUGAAAUUUGGGGUCAAAUUGAAGUUAAAUUAAGUUAAGGAUGAAAUUGGAGCAUAUAAAAGUAAGAGGGGUUAUUUUAGUCCUUUACAUAAAUCUGGACCAUGUGUGGACUUAUUGGUAAAGGAGAAUAUUGUCUGGAUCUCUUUAUGAAUAAGUUCCCACUGAUGGGUUUAUUUGUAAUAUGCCCUUAUUAUAUUAUUAUUACUGUACCUAUAUAGUAAUAUAACAAUAUCACUAUUUACAAAAAUAAUCAAAAUAAACACGCAAUAAAGUGGAGGAUUUAUUAUUUCGUUCUCUUCGUCAAUUGGGAGGUAAUGUAUUACCGGCAUACGUGAAUUUGAGAGAAUUGUAUUUAUAAAAAAAGGGGGAAAAACUAGCUGAAGGUUACUUAAAAAUAUUCUCUAUAAUAUAAGGUGAGGCGAAUUUUGCCUUUUUACUAAAAGUUUUUGUACGCUUUCUCGCUCUGUAUCUGACGCUAGGUCUGGUGUCUUGCUAAUGGAAUUUUUUAGAAAAAAUAACAGUAACGGGGACGUGGUGAUUUGCACAGCUUAGUUACUAAGCAACAAUUUAGUUAUAUUAAUAAACACAACUUAGUUAAAAUGAACUGAAGAAAAAACAAAAAUAAGAAUAGAUGCAUUCCACAACACAUAUACUACUUACACAUACAUCUUAUAAACUUAUUUACCUUGUUUAGUUACAUUAACGAGAAAAAUUUAGGAAACAAACUUGUUUUGUAUGUAAUUUUACUAUGAAGUUAGAAAUUUAGAAAGCUUAUUUGCAUAGCUUAGUUACACAACUUAAUUAAAAUAAGUUGAAGAAAAAAAAAUAAUAUUUGGUACGUACAUCACCACCAACAUUAACAUCACCAUGACCAUCACCAAACAAUUAUUCAUAUUUUCCCGUUUUGCUUUCCAUGAUUCAACGGAGAUCAAUGAGUGUAACCAAAAUCGUAUGUCACUGCGUGUUUGUGGUUGGUAAGUGUGUGAUUAUGUGGCGAAGCUUCGAUGAUGAUAGCGGCAGAGAGGGGGGGUGGAGCAGAUUUGACGAAGUGUAGUGGGUUAAACGGAAUUUGACGGGGAAAAAUUAGGGUAGCGCGACGAAGGCGGGUGUGAAGAACAGAAGAUUUUCAGAAAAUUGCAAAAGUUGGUAUGUCAUGAAUUGAAUGACAAUUAGCGCUCAAAGGUGUUCAGCAAAUUGCCCCAAAUAAAAAACCCGCAGUAUUACACAUUGACCCGCAAUAUUCAUAGCAAUAUUCAUACUGACCCAGAUUUUAACAAAAUGUAUCACAUUAAACCCGCAAAUUCGACGUUGGAGACCGGCCAGAAAAAAAAAUUCUUAUAAAAAAGGUUAACCCGGAAUCUGGCUGGAAAAAAUAAUUUCAGAAAUUUUCUCAAAAAAAAUAUAAAUUCAAAUUAUGAAAAUGGUGGUUAAUAUGAUAUAUUUAUUUAAAUCUGGGGUCAAUGUUCAACCUCCCAUUUGUCCUCGUCGUUCGUUUGUGCAAGUGAUGACUCUUGUCAAUAUUUCGCCUCCUCUUACAUUGUUCCAGCCCAUCAAUAUUUAUUUUCCUUCCAAGCCUCCAACCUAUAUCAAAUUAUCAAUAAUGAACCAGCAUAUGCUAGCAGAAAAACCCUUUUAAUACAACCAUUAACCGUCGUAAAAGGUACCUGUAAAACAAAUUUUGCAUCGCAUUUGUUAUGAUUUUUUCCAGUCGCAUAUACGGGUGUGACAAAAACUUUGCUACAGUAAAUCCUAACACUUACUACGACUUCAAGAUUGUUCCAUAGUAAAAGAUAGCUUUUUGUUGUAUUUUUUACCAUAGCAAAAAAAAUUAUAGUCAAAAACUAUUUUUCUACUAGUGAUAUAUAAUGUACUCCAUGUUGGAAAUCUAUCAGAAUACGAAGCAAUUCGAUAACAUUUUAAUAUUGAAAAUCUCUAGCGGUCGUCCAAGUAUACAUGAUAUCAAACUGGCAUCAUGGCACAGUGGAAACUUAGUGACGACCCGGUGGUAAGUCUGACCGAUCCCAGACACGUUGUCAUGAUCCCGACAGAUAAAGACGAUAUGGUUUAGGUACUAUAUAGGGAUUCCCAUGUCAUAGGAAUACUAAGACCUCAUUUGGUUGCAAGGAUAAAUUAGUCAAGAUAAACAAUCUAAUAAAACUCAAUUAUAUUAUUGGACCUUCUAUGAUCUAAUAAAAAACAUGUCUAAAAAACCAAGAUAAGGCAUGAUAAAAUACUAUUUACGGGUCGACACGUGAAGUAAUUGGAGAUACCAAACAUCAAACAAAAAUUAAUUAUUUAGUUAAUAAUGGUUGAUAUUACCAACCAAACAAGGCGUAAAUAGAGAUCCAAGUCAACGUUAAACAACAGUCACUUACUUAGGGGGUCCUUUACUUGCUUUGUGAAAACUAAAAAAUGUAAUUUGACCAAUAAAUUUGGUGAUAAUUCGGAAUCUUUAUUUAAAAAUAGUUAGAUUGGAAAUUAUGUAUUCAAAAUAAGUUCAUAUUGACCCUGAUUUUAACAAAAUGUAUCACAUUGAACCCGCAAAUUCAACGCCGGAGACCGGCGGUUGACCGGCCGGAAAAAAAGAAAAUUUCAGAAAAAAAAAUUCUUAAAAAAAAAAGGUUAACCCGGAAUCUGGCUGGAAAAAAUAAUUUCAGAAAAAAAUAUAUUUUCUCAAAAAAAAAAAUCAAAUUAUGAAAAUGGGGGUUAAUAUGAUAUAUUUAUUUAAAUCUGGGGUCAACGUUCAACCUCCCAUUUGUCCUCGUCGUUCGUUUGUGCAAGUGAUGACUCUUGUCAAUUCUUCGCCUCCUCUUACAUUGUUCCAGCCCAUCAGUAUUUAUUUUGCUUCCAAGCCUCCAACCUAUAUCAAAUUAGCAUUAACGAACCAACAUACGCUAGUAGAAAAUACUUUUUUAAUACGACCAUUAACCGUAGCAAAAGGUACCAGUAAAAAUAUUUUUGCCACGCAUUUGCUAAGAUUUUGCCUAGUCGCAUAACGGGCAUGACAAAAACUUUGCUACAAUAAAUCAUAAUAUUUACUACGAUUCCAAGAUUGUCCCGCAGUAAAAGAUACCUUUUUGUUACAGUUUUUUACCGUAGCAAAAAAAUUGGUAGUUUUUUACCGUAGCAAAAAAAUUGGUAGAAGGUAAAAAAAUAUUUUUCUACUAGUGACAUAUGUACUCCAUGUUGGAAAUUGAUCAGACUAGUAGCAAUUCGAUAACGCUUUAAUAUUGAAAUUUUCUACGGUCAUCCAAGUAUACAUGAUAUGAAAACUGCCAUCAUGGCACUGUGGAAACUUAGUGAUUAACGAGCCAGUGGUAAGUUUGACUAAUCCCAGACACGUUCUCGUAAUUCUGGCAGAUAAAGACGAUAUGGUUUAGACACUAUGGAGGGAUUCUCAUGUCAUAUGAAUAUUAUGACGUCGUUUGGUGGUCAAGAUAAGAUUAGUCAAGAUAAACAGUCUGAAAAAACUCAAUUAUAUUAUUGGACCUUCGAUGAUCCAAUUAAAAACAUGUCUAAAAGACAGGAUAAUGCAUGCAUGAUAAAAUAAUAUUUACAGGUCGACCCGUAAACUUAUUUGGGAUACCAAACAUCAAACAAAAUUUAAUUAUCUAGUUAAUUAUGGUUGAUAUUACAACCAAACAAGACCUAAAUAGUGAUCUAGGGAGGAGUCAACAUUAAACAAGAGUCACUGACUUAAGGAGGUCCUUAUCGUGUAAUGAUCUUUACUUGCUUUGUGAAAACUAAAAAAAUGUAAUUUGGCCAAUAAAUUUAGUGACAAUUCGGAAUCUGUAUUUAAAAAUAGUUAGAUUGGAAAUUAUUUAUUCAAAAUAAAUUCAGGUAUCACCCAUUAGAUUCGGCGAGGAAGGAAGUUGGCAAUUGUUCGGUAGAGUGCAGACAAACUAUUGCACGAAAUGAAGAUUAGUGCACGUAUGUGGGUGCAAGUUUCUUUUUUUUUUAAUAAAAAACCUCAUUUUUUGUCCUCUAAUAAAAUAUGUUUUAAUUAAUAAAUGAAAAGUUAAAAAAGUCAUAAUCAGUAAUUAAUUAAUUAUAGUAUCAAUAAAUUAGAAGCUUUCUAAGAGAAAGAAAAAAGAUUUCAAUUUGCGGUGAAGAUAAUACUAUAAUUACUGUUUACUAAGAGGGUGUUUGGCUAAGCUUAUAAGAUGUUAAAAGAAGCUUAUAAGAUGUUUUAGAGCUUAUAAGCUCUUCCAAAGUGUUACGUAUUUUUUUAAAAAAAAUCUUAUUUUUUUUCUAAAUAAGUUGUUGGAGAAAAUAAGAUUUUAAAAAAAAAAUAUAUCUACCCCACAUUUUUAUUUAAGAUCUUAUAAUGAGUAAGAAAAAGGAAAUAAAUUCAUUAUCCAAACACUCUAAAAAUUAAUCCUAAAAAUAAGAUGUAACAGAUUAUCAGCUUUUAAAACAUCUUAUCAGACGUAUGAGUUUAUCACCUGUUUAAAAUAAGCUUAGCCAAACACCCUCUUAGUUGAAAAUCAGUCUCGCAUUAUUUUAUUUUUCUGGUAAUAAGGAACCUGCAACCAUACAGGUGCAUUAGGUUAAAAUCUACACUCUCAUAUAAUAGCUAGCAAAUCAUACGAGAUAUAUAAAACACACUAGACUAAUCAUGUGUGACAAUCUCAACUAAGCGCCGUUGACAAGGGAAUUCAAACGUGGGUCAAUUGAUACAUGCUCACACAUGAUCAGCCUAGUGUGAUUUACAUCUCUCGUACAAUUUACAAGCUAUUAACAAGAAUGUAAGUUUAUCCGAUGCAGCUAUAUAGUUUACUACAGAUUCCUUCAUUAAAAAAAAAAAGCAAAUCAGUACCUACAUAUAAAACAUAGGCAUAGUACUAUUGUUGGACCAACUCUAUUAUAAUAAUUUGAUUAAUUUCCAAUAAAAGUUUGAACUUGUCAACAGAAAAAAAGAGAAUGGAAACGAGACAGACUUUGACUUUUUCACCAAUAAAAACAUGUUGACUUUGCACCAACUUUUUCAAGCCCCAAACUUUGAACAAAUUAUUUUUUUGAAUAAUUCGCAUUAUUCCUUUUAUUUGUCAGAUAUCCGACGAGUUCUUGCCUUUUUUAUUUUCAUACAUCAUGUGACAUCUUACUAAGUAGUUUAAUUUGGUAUAGGUGAAAGUUGGAGCAAUUUUUUUUUAAUAAUGAAGAAAUCUGCAAUUAAUUAUAUAGAUAUUGGGAUAAAUUUAUUGUCUUGUAUAAUAUCUUGCAAACUAUACGAUAUAUAUAAAUUACACUAGGCUAACAAUGUCUGACAAGUUCUACUUAGCAACCGUUGAUUAUGAGAUUUGAAUUUGAUCAAUUGAUGCAGACUCACUUGCUCCAACUGCUAGGUCAUCCCUUACGGGUACGUUAUGAAUAACCUCCUAAAAUAUGAUUGAACCAUAUUUUUCUUCUCCAUUGCAAGGAAUAAAUAGAAUUUAUUUCUAACUAGUAUUUUUUCCGUUCGAUGCAUUUGAUAGCAUUUCAAAAAUAAUUCAUAUAAUACAUGACAAUAACAAAUAUAAUAAAACUAUAUUACAAUAUUCUAAUAAAAUUUAUCGGUAACAACAUCAACAGUUAUAUACAAUUUUAAUAAUACAAACUCACUCGACAAAAGAUUAUAUAAAAUUAAAUAUCAUAAUAUGAAAUUGAUAGUUAAAUAAAUGAUGUAAUUACUAAAGCAAAAUUAAUUAACAAAUUUACACAUAUGUCAUUAACAAGAAAAAAAUGAAAUAACAAAGAAAGCGACAAUCGUUUCAUUGAAAUAAGAUUUUAAAACUUAGUAGAGGAAAUAAAUAAAACAAACAUAAUCAAAAAAAAAAUAUUCGAUUGCUUAGGGGUGCUCUAGAAUUAAUUCAGUUUUUUUUAGAGCAAAAAACUUGCAAAUUUCAUUACGGUAACGAAUCAGUAUCUACAACUUCAAGAAUAAAUUUUGGUAACACCGUGGAAUUAAAAUUCUCUUUGGAUGAAUGUCUAGAUGAGCUGCACGAUUGCCUUCUCUCUUGGCGUGACAGACUUAGAAAGAUUCAAAACAUAUUGCUAAUCUCUUAAUGUCGUCAAUGAUGUUCCCAUAUUUCGAUUGCACACCCAUAUCUCUCCCUCAAUAGCAACUACAAUUAUGCUUGAAUCACCUUCCAAUAUAACCUUAUUCCACCAAAACACAAAAUUUACAUUUUUGUGUAUAUAUUGUGUUUUUGAAAGCAUUUUUUUGUAUAUAUUCAAACUCAAAUUAUUCUGCAACAAACAUCUGAAAAAAAAAAAUUAAUUCUUUUUUGUUUUACAUAUUUUUUAAGUUGUAUCACAUUUGAAGAUGUGCACCGUAAUUUAUAUUAUUUAUUUGUCUUAUAUCAUCAUCGAACUCUCAUAAAAUAAAUUGAAGGUACUAGUCUAACGGCAAAGCAUUAAAAUAAAUCAUUAAAUAUUAAUUUGAAUCUAGUUUUAUUAUUUUGAUACCCAUUUACACCAACCACAGUUACUAAAUAGGUUAUCAAAUUUUAAUAUAAGAAUAAAUAUAUUUAAAAUGGACACAUGUCAAUUCAUGAUAGGUUAUUUGAGUAGUUAAUUUUGUGACAGCUCUUUUUGCCCCAUGAUGCAUUUUCAUUUACUAACCAAUGAAUUAAAUUAAAUUAAAUUAAUUAAUUAAUUCCUAUUAAUCGAUGGACGAUUUCAAUUUGCACGACUAACCAACGAAUACCAAAAACAAAAAAAAAAUAUACUAAACAUAUAUUUUUUAUAUUUAUAUUUAAAAUAAAAUAAUGAUAAAUACAUAUGAUUGAGAGGGGUUGUUUGAGAGUGGGGGAUGGAAUCAAAUUGAUUGAUUGGGUCAAUUGAGGCGUUCAAAGCGUUGACUCUCCAAAAUGUAUUAGCCUUAUAAAUUGGAGCUAACACUUUCCAAAGUUUCAAACAAAACAUUUCAUCAUCACUUGGUUCAUCAAACUAAAUUGUUUCUUUUUUGCUCUCAAUUUUCUCGAAAAUGAAAGAUAAGUUUACAGGGACUAUUCUGCAAAGUGAUGCACUCGCCCAGGUACUUAAAUUUCUUUGUCCGACUUUUAUUUUCUUUUAAAAAUAUCUCACUAGAUAGUCUAUAUUUUAUUUUGUUUCAAUAGUAUUAAUAUUAUUUGGAUUGCAGUAUAUUCUGGAAACAAGUGCUUACCCGAGAGAGCAUGAGCAACUCAAAGAACUACGAAUGGCUACCGUCGACAAGUAUCAGUGGUGGUACGAAAAUAUACAAUUUUUCGAAUCUUCUAUUUUUAUUUAUUUUUUCUUAUUAUUAAUUAUUAUAUUUAAUUUAUUAUUAUUAUUAUAAUUACAGGAGUAUGAUGAAUGUAACUGCUGACGAGGGCCAAUUCAUAUCACUAUUCUUGAAAAUGAUGAAUGCAAAGAAAACAAUUGAGGUUGGAGUUUUCACUGGCUACUCUCUCCUCACUACUGCUCUUGCCCUUCCUAAUGAUGGCAAGGUAAGUAAAUUAUUAUAUUUUUUUUAAUUAGGAUAAUUACGCGACCACCCCGUAAGAUAAGAUCAAAUUACAAAAAAAAUCCUCAUGUUUGAGUAAUUACAACCACUCCUCAACUAUGUAUUGUCUUACUUACCUACUUAAGAAGGGGUUUAUCCGUAAGAAAACACAUAAUUGAGAAGGUGAUUUUAAUUACCCAAAUAUGAACGGAUUUUUCUCGUGAUUUGACAUUACCUCAGAGGUUGCCGUAGUUAACCCAAAACAUAAUAAUAAAAUAAAAAUUAUAAAUUAUUUUUGGUUUGUUUUGUGUAGAUAAUCGCAAUUGACCCGGACAGAGAAGCAUACGAGACUGGAUUGCCAUUUAUUCAAAAGGCAAACAUGGCACACAAGAUUAAGUUCAUUCAAUCUGAUGCCUUCAAAGUUAUGGAACAGCUCAAGGCCAAUGUAAUUAUUUUCUUCUCCUACCUAAUUAUUUUAUUUACAAGUACAUUUAUGAGGAUUAAUUGUUUAAUUGCCGUAUUAAUUUUUUUUUAAUUUUUAUUUUUUAGGGUGAAGAAGGAACAUUUGAUUUUGCAUUUGUGGAUGCGGACAAGCAGAACUAUAUCCACUACCACGAACAGCUAUUGAAACUGGUUAGGGUUGGGGGAAUAAUUGCCUACGACAACACAUUGUGGUCGGGAACUGUAGCAGCGUCCGAUGACGAUGAGAUGGAGGAAUACCUGAGGAGGGUUAGAAUCGACAUUAUGCAAUUGAACACUUUCUUAGCUGCUGAUUCUCGUAUUGAACUCGCUCAACUUUCUAUCGGAGAUGGGCUCACCCUUUGCAGACGUGUCAAAUAGACAUUUUAUUUGUUUUUAUCAAAUUUCUGCAUCUAUUUCUCUCCUUUUUAUAUGUAAUAAUGUUUGUCUUUCUCAAUCUUUAAUUGUGUAUUAUGCUUUUUCGUCAAUGUAUCUUAAUGAGUUACAUGAUUUCAUUUUAUAAAAUGUAUUUAAAAGCUUUUUUUAUGAGUAAUAUACAAAAAGUACUCAUGUGUAAUUCAUAUCUGCCAAAAACCCCCUAUAAUAAAAACAAGGGUUAAAUACAAAAA